GACGAACGCUGGCGGCGUGCUUAACACAUGCAAGUCGAACGGAAAGGCCCUGCUUUUGUGGGGUGCUCGAGUGGCGAACGUGUGAGUAACACGUUAGUAACCUUCCCUUGACUUUGGGAUAACUUCAGGAAACUGGGGCUAAUACCGGAUAGGAGCUCCUGCUGCAUGGUGGGGGUUGGAAAGUUUCGGCGGUUGGGGAUGGACUCGCGGCUUAUCAGCUUGUUGGUGGGGUAGUGGCUUACCAAGGCUUUGACGGGUAGCCGGCCUGAGAGGGUGACCGGCCACAUGGGGAAUGAGAUACGGCACAGACUCCUACGGGAGGCAGAAGUGGGGAAUAUUGCAAAAUGGGCGGAAGCCUGAUGCAGCAACGCCGCGUGAGGGAUGACGGACUUCGGGUUGUAAACCGCUUUCGCCUGUGACGAAGCGUGAGUGAAGGUAAUGGGUAAAGAAGCACAGGCUAACUACGUG
RNAcentral lists this ribosomal RNA (468 nucleotides) under uncultured bacterium. Its description in RNAcentral is "partial 16S ribosomal RNA". It matches the Rfam family "Bacterial small subunit ribosomal RNA", at positions 28 to 507 of the family's 1533-position model. The record is from RNAcentral.